RNAcentral lists this long non-coding RNA (754 nucleotides) under Cricetulus griseus (Chinese hamster). RNAcentral's name for it is "lncRNA (ENSCGRG00015034805.1)". The record is from RNAcentral. Lineage: Eukaryota; Metazoa; Chordata; Mammalia; Rodentia; Cricetidae.
GUAAGACUCACUCAGAAGAGCAUAUCCUACAGCAAGGGAUAUUCAUCCCUAUCUUCCUGGUUGUACUUUAACUUCAGAUGGGAGGAGAAACAAGCUUGCUAGUUUCCAGUUAGCAUUAAUUCCACUCCCUGCAAUUUAGACACAGCACAAAACUUCCUUCUUCCAUCUUCUCAUUAUCAUAGAGUACUCAGGGACAAGCUUGGAAGAAAGUCCAAUUUAUAUCUCCCAUUAUAAAGAAGACUAUAUGUUGUCAAUGCUAAACCUGCAACAGGUAACUGAAAACAAGUUUAAAAGCCUUCAUCCAGUAGCUGAUGGAAGCAGAGGCAAACACCCACAGCUAAUCAUUGAACUGAACUCUGGAAUCCAGUUGCAGAGAAGGAGGAAUGAUGGGCAAAAGGGUCAAGACCAGGCUGGAGAAACCCACAGAAACAGCUGACCUGAACAAGGGGGAGUUCAUAGACCCAAGACUGACAACUGGGAAAACAACAUAGGACUGUUCCAGGUCCCCUGAGUGAAGACAUCAGUUUGGAGGUCUGCUUAAUCUAUGGAGCCUCUUGUAGUAGAUCAGUACUUAUCCCUACCAUAGGAAUGGACUUUGGGAGCUCAUUUCACAUAGAGGGAUACUCCCUCAGCCUAGACACACGGGGGAGGGCCUAGGCCCUGCUCCAAAUGAUAUGACAGACUUUGAAGAUCCUCCAUGGAAAGGGUAUAGGAUAGGGGCUUGGUGGAGGACAGGGGAGGGAGAGAGAACUGG